AUGACUUUCAUCCCCAUCUUCAUCUGGACUCUGGUCUGUUACGCACAAGGGUCUUGGGGCCAGUAUGUAUCGACUCAGUCUGCAGCUCAAUCAGUCCAGCCUGGUCAAAUCACUCAGUACUCUGGCUCACAGUAUUACCUGGCCUGGUACCAUCAGACGUCUGGAGAAGCUCCUAAACUCCUGAUCUAUUACACAUCAGACAGGUUCACAGGAGUUUCCACCUGGUUCAGUGGCAGUGGGAGAGGAAAUGGUGUUGACUUCACUCUGACCAUCAGUGAUGUCCAGGCUGAGUAUACAGGAGUUUACUACUGUCAGAGUCACCACAGUGGUCCUGUACUGUCACUGUGGUGGUCUUUCGGUGGAGGGACCAAACUGAGUGUAAGUAGUGACGUUUGUCCCACCAUGAUAGUCCUGCCCCCCUCCAGUGUGGAGCUGCAGCAGGGAAAGGCCACUCUCAUGUGCCUGGCAAACAAGGUCUUCCCCUCAGACUGGAAGCUGAGCUGGAAGGUGGAUGGGAGCAGUAGCAGGGGAGGACGGUGGACUCUGACCUGGUGAACUCUGACCUACAUGGUGUUUUAGGUCAGGUCAUGACAAGGGGGGUUUCUAGAUAGAAAUAUACUAUGUUGGUGUAUGUGUAUGGUUCCCAAUUGGAGGCAGGAGAUAAUCGUUGCCUCUAAUUGGGGAUCAUGCUUAGUGUGUUCCUUUUCCCACCUGCGAUGUGGGAUAGAUAUUGUUUUGUAGUAGUGCCUAUGUGCUCUACGUACUUCACAUCAUUAUAUCUUUGUGUCACGAUCGUCGUAUUCAGUAGACCAAAGCGCAGCGUGGUGUGAAUGCAUGAUUUUAAUGAAAGACGAAAAAAACACGAAGUAUACUAACAAACAAACUAACUAACUAACAAGACGACCGUGACUGCUACCAAAACACUGUGCUAACGUGCAACAUAACAUAGACAAUAACCCACGAACCACAAUACAAAACAGGCUACCUAAAUAUGGUUCCCAAUCAGAGACAACGACAAACACCUGCCACUGAUUGAGAACCAUAUCAGGCCAAAACACAUAGAAAUAGACCAACUAGACAUACAACAUAGAAUGCCCACUCAUAUCACACCCUGACCAAACAAAACAUAGAAACAAACAUUGCAAAUCAUGGUCAGAGUGUGACACUUUGUUUUGAUAAGUUUCACUAUUAAUAAAAUGUGGAACUCUU
Non-coding RNA from Oncorhynchus masou masou (cherry salmon), 1209 nucleotides. The record is from the annotation of a RefSeq genome assembly. Lineage: Eukaryota; Metazoa; Chordata; Actinopteri; Salmoniformes; Salmonidae.